GGGGCUGACCGGUUUUGACAGCAAGGAAGUGGUAUUGUAAGCAUGCCGGGUGUUGUGUGUUUACCCGUUAACAACAAUGCAUACGCCAGAAUAAAUGGCAACAAUUACAAUUUCUCGUUAGCUGCUUAAUCAAGAAGAUUAAGUCGCUUUCUGUUUCCCGCAAAACCUCUCCAAACGGUGUUGUGGAUGAAGCAUCGAAAAAGUUUGGAUAGAAAAAGUUUUGUUCCGGAGCUUUUUUGAAAUAACAGGAACUAAGGAUGAAGUAGGUUUGCCUUUCACUGGCUUUCAUCCCUACAAAAUAUGAAAGGCUAAGCAUGUAGAAAGCAUUAUUGCUGCUUGUUUGGACGAGGGUUCGACUCCCUCCAGCUCCACUA
This 374-nucleotide transfer-messenger RNA is filed under the name Bacteroidales. RNAcentral's name for it is "JAAYJT01 sp012522795 Standard tmRNA". It matches the Rfam family "transfer-messenger RNA". Rfam says of the family: Bacterial tmRNA, also known as 10Sa RNA or SsrA, is named for its dual tRNA and mRNA-like properties. The record is from RNAcentral. Lineage: Bacteria; Pseudomonadati; Bacteroidota; Bacteroidia. RNAcentral also lists the same sequence under 1 other name.